GGUUCCACAAUGGUACAGGCAGCAUCACGCUGCACAAUGGUUUCCAGGCAGUGAAAGAGGGUGAUUCAGCAAGCCACUCUUCUUCUUCUAUUUUCUUUAACCUCCCCUUCACUUUUUAUUUUUAUGGGGGUGGGUGGUGCUUGCUAUAUGCUUACCUUUUUCUUUUAUUUUUUCAUUUUUACAAAUAUCCUUUUUUGUCCUCACCCCUCAAUUCCUAGGGGCUUGAGUGAGUUUAAGAUUGGGUUUUCUUGGAAAUCACCUGUCCAUCGUUAAUUUUAAACAAUCUCCAUAUCUCCAAAGAAUCUCUUCCAUAUUACAGUCUGGAAUGUGGUUAAUGAAAAACAAGUAGGGAGGAUUUCUGGGGCAAACACUGCCGGAUCAGGAUCGUAGUUCUCAGGCACGGAAUGGCUAGUGUGAGAAACACCAACGUCAGGCCCAUCUCAGAUCUUCACUAUGGCAACUCAUGCAAGAAACUGUUGAAUUAGACCCGUUUCCUAUAGAUGAGAAACCAUACAAGCUGUGGUAUUUAUGAGCCUCCAUUUCUUAUACUACUGCAGUGAACCAACAUUGGAUGUGAAAAUUGCCUUUUGUCAGGGAUUCGAUAAACAAGUGGAUGUGUCAUAUAUUGCCAAACAUUACAACAUGAGCAAAAGCAAAGUUGACAACCAGUUCUACAGUGUGGAAGUGGGAGACUCAACCUUCACAGUUCUCAAGCGCUACCAGAAUCUAAAGCCUAUUGGCUCUGGGGCUCAGGGCAUAGUUUGUGCCGCGUAUGAUGCUGUCCUUGACAGAAAUGUGGCCAUUAAGAAGCUCAGCAGACCCUUUCAGAACCAAACACAUGCCAAGAGAGCGUACCGGGAGCUGGUCCUCAUGAAGUGUGUGAACCAUAAAAACAUUAUUAGUUUAUUAAAUGUCUUCACACCCCAGAAAACGCUGGAGGAGUUCCAAGAUGUUUACUUAGUAAUGGAACUGAUGGAUGCCAACUUAUGUCAAGUGAUUCAGAUGGAAUUAGACCACGAGCGAAUGUCUUACCUGCUGUACCAAAUGUUGUGUGGCAUUAAGCACCUCCAUUCUGCUGGAAUUAUUCACAGGGAUUUAAAACCAAGUAACAUUGUAGUCAAGUCUGAUUGCACAUUGAAAAUCCUGGACUUUGGACUGGCCAGGACAGCAGGCACAAGCUUCAUGAUGACUCCAUAUGUGGUGACACGUUAUUACAGAGCCCCUGAGGUCAUCCUGGGGAUGGGCUACAAGGAGAACGGUAGGGAUGCUUCGGGAGAGCAGCGUCAAAACCAUGAAUAAAACGGGUGCAUGUUGUAGAUAGCUAAGGAGAAUGUUCUCUUUCAUGUACAUGCUUUUAUAAAGUAGGGCUGCCAGAUAGCAUAUUCAGGUUUUUUUUUUUAAUACUACUGGUAAGAAACACAUUAAAAAUGUGAAGGAUGUUAUUGAGAAGUCAGUUUUGCUAGAAGAGCACUAAAUGUUAAUAGUGAAAAAGAAUUGUAAAUGGAGUCUGAUUAAAUAGUCAAGUGGAUGCUGAUUAGCACACGUGCCUAGAUAUUGAGAAAAAUUGCUAUUUGGGUUGCAGCUCAGCUAAGCGUGAGUGUGAAAGCAGGAAGGAAUCUACCACAUUUGGCCAUGUGGCUUUUAUGUCGUAUCUCAGACUGAUGGCUGUAGUUCUAGAAAAAGACAAGCAAAAAAGUGACACAAAUCCUUGGAGUGAAAAUCUUCACAGACAACUUUGAAAUAAUCCAAAUUAUUUAAACUGAAUAAGAAUUUCUGAAAUAAUUUAAGCUGCUCUGUAAGAAAUAUUUAGAGUAGCAAUUGCCUAAUAAAU
RNAcentral lists this small RNA (1831 nucleotides) under Pongo abelii (Sumatran orangutan). RNAcentral's name for it is "retained intron". Lineage: Eukaryota; Metazoa; Chordata; Mammalia; Primates; Hominidae. The record is from RNAcentral.